GGGGACGCAAUGGUCUCGACGGGGAUCUUGAACUGCGGCAAGCGAGCAGUGGUGAGGCACCACUAUAAAAGCUUCACUUAUAAAUUAAACAACACUAAUACUGUUGCACUCGCUGCCUAAUUAAGGCGGCCGUCCGAGCGGAGAGUACCGCGGCUUCGUAAGGGCGUGAUUUAGCGGUGAACGUGAGCAGGGGGAUGGCUGUGCCCCUGCCAUGCAUUACAGCCUACCGCAGCACGAAGCCGGUCACACGGCGGCGUGUGAGGGGAAUCCUAAAUGUGUGACUGCGCUCGGAGAAGGCUGUACGGAUGGGUUUUCGGACAGGGGUUCAAUUCCCCUCGUCUCCACCA
Molecule: transfer-messenger RNA, 347 nt
Filed under: Oscillospiraceae bacterium
Lineage: Bacteria; Bacillati; Bacillota; Clostridia; Eubacteriales; Oscillospiraceae
Also listed under: 1 other name
Rfam family: transfer-messenger RNA
About the family: Bacterial tmRNA, also known as 10Sa RNA or SsrA, is named for its dual tRNA and mRNA-like properties. Its role is to liberate the mRNA from a stalled ribosome.
Source: RNAcentral